GACGAACGCUGGCGGCGUGCCUAACACAUGCAAGUCGAACGGAAAGGCCCUGCUUUUGUGGGGUGCUCGAGUGGCGAACGGGUGAGUAACACGUGAGUAACCUGCCCCUGACUUUGGGAUAACUUCAGGAAACUGGGGCUAAUAUCGGAUAGGAGCUCCUGCUGCAUGGUGGGGGUUGGAAAGUUUCGGCGGUUGGGGAUGGACUCGCGGCUUAUCAGCUUGUUGGUGGGGUAGUGGCUUACCAAGGCUUUGACGGGUAGCCGGCCUGAGAGGGUGACCGGCCACAUUGGGCCUGAGAGACGGCCCAGACUCCUACGGGAGGCAGCGGUGGGGAGUAUUGCACAAUGGGCGGAAGCCUGAUGCAGCAACGCCGCGUGCGGGAUAACGGCCUUCGGGUUGUAAACCGCUUUCGCCUGUGACGAAGCGUGAGUGACGGUAAUGGGUAAAGAAGCACCGGCUAACUACGUG
RNAcentral lists this ribosomal RNA (468 nucleotides) under uncultured bacterium. RNAcentral describes it as "partial 16S ribosomal RNA". It matches the Rfam family "Bacterial small subunit ribosomal RNA", at positions 28 to 507 of the family's 1533-position model. The record is from RNAcentral.